Molecule: ribosomal RNA, 408 nt
Filed under: uncultured bacterium
Lineage: Bacteria
Description: partial 16S ribosomal RNA
Rfam family: Bacterial small subunit ribosomal RNA
Source: RNAcentral
AUUGAACGCUGGCGGCAGGCCUAACACAUGCAAGUCGAGCGGAGCGGCGGACGGGUGAGUAAUGCCUAGGAAUCAGCCUGGGAGUGGGGGAUCACGUCCGGAAACGGGCGCUAAUACCGCAUAAUAUCAGAUGAGCCUAGGUCGGAUUAGAUAGGUGGUGGGGUAAAGGCCUACCAAGGCGACGAGCCGGAACGGGUCUGAGAGGAUGAUAAGUCACACUGGAACUGAGACACGGUCCCGACUCCUACGGGAGGCAGCAGCUGGGAUUAUUGGGCAAUGGGCGAAAGCCUGAUCCAGCCAAGCCGCGGGGGUGAAGAAGGUCUUUGGAUUGUAAAGCCCUUUCAGUUUGGAGGCGUGACCAUCAGAAUAAGCUCCGGCUAACGUAGUGCCAGCAGCCGCGGUAAGUCC